AUGGCUCGUGGCGAUCAUCAAAUUGAUGAUGAUGAUUUCAUGGAUCCACCACAGCGUAAUCGGGCAACUGGACGGAGAAAAGAGGGUGAUGAGAAGAAACGUAUUCGCAACAGAGCCUCCCAAGAACGACUGACUGCGUUGACUGACAAAUUCACCGACAAUCAGAAGGGAACUGCUGCUGAGAUGGGUAUGCAGGCUCUGAUGGAUGUCCGGUGCACGAACCUUGUCAACCCUGUAUGCGAUUGGCUUGGUGAGAUCUACCACCCCGCCUCCAGGGAAUUCAUGAUUCCGGGACGUGGAAGACUACCGUUGAACGAGGAAUCCGUGUUCUGUACUUUGGGUGUGCCUCGUGGACAUAUCAAAGUCCUGUACGAGGUCAAUAAUGAGAUAGAGGAAGCGAUGUUCCCCCAUUUGUUUCCUGGAUUGGAAUCCAUGCCGAACACGUCUGCACUGGCAGAUUCGCUGCAGACCAUGACGACGCAUGGAGAUGUUUUCAAGAUGAAGCUACUCAUGUACCUCAUCUCAGCUGUUUUCGCGCCGACCACUUCUCUUCGCCCAAGCAACAAAUGCUUCCCCAUCCUGGCGGAUCUGAAAAAUGUGAAGAACAUGAAUUGGUGUAAGUUUAUUUCUGACUUCCUGCACGAUGCAUUCUCAAGCAAGAUGUACCAAAAGGGUUGUCGACUGCAUUUAUUGCUCAUGUAUGUCGACUGUCUUGAUCUGUCCACCGUGGAUUUCACUGGGAUAGGAGGCCCGCCGCCUACGCACAAGUUUGCUGUUUCUGCAUGGACUAUCAAUGUUGUCAAGGCUGUACUUGCCGCGGACAGGGUAACUGAUAUCAAAUAUGGAAAACUGCAGCUGAUGGCCAAGCAUGCUAUAGACUAUAGCGUGUUUGGGGGGCCUCAAAACUUUGAAAAGUGGAUGGACGUGCACUCAGCUUCGUCUUGCCCUACUGAGACGAGGGCACCUGUUGAGCAUCUAAUUGGGCAGUUUGCAUCCGGAAUGACCGGCUUGCUCGGGAAGUUGGUCGAGGGUUCCCAAGAGCCAGGUGACACACAAGAUGAUCUAGAUGGAGACGCUGGCCUCAGCAAGGAUGACGACGAUGACAUGGAGAAUGUGCAACAGGACACCGAUGACGAUGAACAUGCUGAAGUUCGCGUAGGUGGUAACAAGGGCAAGGAUGCAACAGAUGUCCCCCCACCAGAGAAAGUCAAAGAACAUACGGCUGCAAGAGGCGAGGGGGUGUUGCCAUCAAGGAGGGGGAGGGCUCCAGAGGAUGUUGGGCAGGGUUCUCCUGGCAAGAGGUCUAGGACCGAUCCCGUAGCUGUCAGGAGGAGCGAGCCGACCGCUGGUGAACGAGCAGUUACGAAGAAACAGGCGCCAACGCCAACCCAUGUUUCUGCUCGGUUGAACAAAGGUGCCCCCAUUGCCAGUGACACCCCUUCCACCAGGUCUUCUCCUCGUACGACGACGACCAACACCGGGGAUCCUGUCGUGUUGCCAGACCUGAGGAAGUCAGUCAAGAAGGUGAAGAAGACUACUAUGCGCGGGUCCAAGCAUAUCAUUAAGGACCCACUCGAACGCCUGCAUUCAAAGUUGUCAACAGGGGCAACUCAGAUGUUCACGAGGCGCCAGGCUACAAUACUGCUGUUGCACCAUCAACUGUUCCCACUAACUCUAAUAGGCAUCCGUACAUCGGGGAGUGACGAGUCGGUAUCUGCCAGGACAGCUGAAAUAUUGCCAACUCUUCUCGCAAUGAAGGAUGCUGCUGUGAGCCAUGCCACCCCAUCAGCAAGCGUUGAAGUGGACGCUCCCGAGACCAACCUAAGCAAGGAAGAUUCUCGCUCAUCUGACACUGAUUCCAAGCGUGUGUGUGGUGACACUCCUGUGUCCACGACAGAAGCGGCUGAGGCGGCAGUUCACAAUGAUAUGCCAUCUAUAGGUGAGAGUCUUGGCACAACAGCUCCAGCUCCUGUCGGUGCAGAUACUGCUAAGGCGACCGUUUCGCGUGCUGGUCUUCCACCUAGGCGUCGUAGCCCCCGCAAGCAAUCAACAGCCAUACCCAACACACCGGCUGUAGCUAGGAGCAGCAGAGACGAGUCUGGUUAUGUCCUUGCGUCCACACUGUUCCCCCCACCUGCCACAAGCAAUGCGACGGAGAAACCGGAAGACCGGAGCACAACUGAUGCAGGUGUCAAGCCGGGCAUGAGUGACGCAGGUGAACGUCUGGAGCAGAGUGCGCCUUUACCUGCAGUGGAAAUCCCCAGUUUAAAUCUGCGCACUUCCAAGCUCCCAGUCAAUGUGGGUGUCCCAUACAGCCCAAACAAGAAGAUUGUCAAGAAAGCUGCGGCUGAUACCGCUGACAAGACGCCCCGCCCUACAAAUAAGCCCGAUCAUUCUGUAGCGGCCGAUUCAGAUAUGUUUGUUGAUCUUUCACCUUUGGAUUCUGCCGCGCAAGUUGUUCGUGGUCCGGCAAGUAGGCAUGAGAUGCACCCAAUGGCCUUCACCCCACCGAGCUUCAGUCUUGACAUCAGUCAAGAUGAACCAGUGGUGCCAGAUCCUAUGCCAGUUGCAUUUGCUUUCCCGGGAGGCAUGCCCGCAAUGAUGGCGCAGCCAAUGGUCGAGGGCAGGAAGGCUGUCAAGUUUGCAGAGCCGAUAGUUCAAGUGUAG
Molecule: ribosomal RNA, 2667 nt
Filed under: Triticum aestivum (bread wheat)
Lineage: Eukaryota; Viridiplantae; Streptophyta; Magnoliopsida; Poales; Poaceae
Description: partial small subunit ribosomal RNA
Source: RNAcentral